GCGCCUGUCGUUCAAUGGACAGGAUUCGAGGCUACGAACCUCGCGAUGGUGGUUCGAUUCCAUCCAGGCGCGCCA
Molecule: transfer RNA, 75 nt
Filed under: Bordetella genomosp. 10
Lineage: Bacteria; Pseudomonadati; Pseudomonadota; Betaproteobacteria; Burkholderiales; Alcaligenaceae
Description: tRNA-Arg
Rfam family: tRNA
About the family: Transfer RNA (tRNA) molecules are approximately 80 nucleotides in length.
Source: RNAcentral